CCCCCCAUCUCUGCAGAUUCCCCCGCCCCCCAUCUCUGCAGAUUCCCCCGCCCCCAUCUCUGCAGAUUCCCCCGCCCCCAUCUCUGCAGAUUCCCCCGCCCCCACCUCUGCAGAUUCCCCCGACCCCCCAUCUCUGCAGAUUCCCCCGCCCCCCAUCUCUGCAGAUUCCCCCGACCCCCCAUCUCUGCAGAUUCCCCCGCCCCCCAUCUCUGCAGAUUCCCCCGCCCCCAUCUCUGCAGAUUCCCCCGCCCCCAUCUCUGCAGAUUCCCCCGCCCCCAACUGCCCGCUACAGCUCUUUCCUUGUGCCUCACAGCAGCCGGUCCCACUUCCUGCAUCGCCACCAAUGUGGCCCAGGCCACCAGCCCCCGUGACACUGCAGCCAUCCCCUUUGCUCCCCGUCGUGGCCUCCCGACCGAGCAGCCAGAGUGACCCCGAAAGCCUAAAUCAGCCUGCGGCGCCCUCACCCGUCCUCCAGCUGCCAUCGCCUCCUGGGUGAAGAGGACGCAGCUGGUGACGCGCACUGACGUCCUGCAAGGCCCGCUCCAGGUGCGCCACCUUUGACUGGCAUGCUGAAAGGACAAAGGGACGGAGGCAUUUUACCGGAGAGGACAUCCAUGGGGCCCAGCAGGUCAAAUUCCUUUCUCUAAGUAUGGGAGACAUUUUUAAAAAUAAUGGAGUCCUCCAGGGCCGGCUGCGUGCUGUGGCCUGUGCUCCUCACUGCUUUGGACCCAGGCUGCGCUGUCUCCACCACGACCAAGGACUCACAGAGCUCGCCUGGGGGACCUGGCCCCACAGUCACCCCGUCCGUCAUCAGCCUCAAAUGCCAUCAGCCCGUGAAUGCUGCUCCAUCGUCUGCAUGGCAGCCAAGGAGGUCUCUGCUCCUAAAGCACCUGGGAGCCCUUGGUGAGGGGGGAGUGGGGCAGGGAAGGAGAUGCUGGGGCCCAGCUCUGCUGCUGUGGAUUGUUACAGUGGCCUGGGCCUCUACUCCCGCCUCUGUCCUACCAGGAUGGUGCCAGGUGAUGUGGCGAUGAGUGGGCAUCGCGUGGGGGCCUUGGACGAGCGUGGACACCCCAAUCCCCAGACUGGCCAUUGCCGUGGAGGCAGCGUGAGUGUGACAUGGAGCUCGGUGUCGUGCUGCAGAGGACGCCUCGCGGCUGUACGCGUCAUGAUAGCCAGGGACCCCUCCACAUGUCACUUAGCCAAAGGAUGCAGCCCAGCCUGGGGCUUUCUACCCCAGGCCCGAGGACCUGCAGGGACAAGGACCCCUCAGCGCAGAUGCAGCUCUCAUGAGGCCUGAAACCAAGCUGGACUUGCAGAACUGCGCACGCUCCCUUUCUGAAAGAAACACCCGUUACCGGGUCCAGACUGAAUGUGGGCGUAAGAAAGCGGGAAGGGUCCCCCACAGCAAGAGAGAGACCCUCCCAGUCACUUGGUCAUCUGAGCCUUGAGUGUGUCCGGCCCCAGCCACCAGCCUGUCCCCACUAUCCCUCUUGUCAGCACGGCUGAAAGGAGCUGCCUGGGCACCUGAGGUGGCUGAGGCUCAUCUUUGAGGAGCAUGGAACUCGAGGGGAGAAGUCGCGCCCCCAGGGAAGCCAGGCCCUCCGACGGUGGCUCCGUGCCCUCAAAAGAAGGAUGAUCCCUUCCUGGUCCCGCCUGACCCGGGGGAGCUCGGCCCCUGCUGUGCUGUCAGCCUCGCCCCGGCCGCCCGCGCUGACCCCCGCCCGGCUCACAGCACCGCUGGCCGCAGCCUCUCACCGAGAGCUCCUGCCCUCAGCCUCCAGCCGGAGAAGGACUCCCCAUCCCAGCAGAGCUCAGCUCAGCGGGCACGCGCACGACGCAGAAAUCCUUGAUUUCUCAGGUUAGGCGACGGCUGAAUUAUAAACACGGGUAAGACCACGCACCUCCACUUCCCAGCGUUCUGUAUUUUACAACCAUUCUGUGUUUAUUUCAUUGAUCUACUUCCCGGAUUCAACGGUAUACUCCAAGAGGGCAGUGACUAGAAGAACUUUAUCUGUCCCGGCUUCGCUACUGUGCUCCCAGCACGUGCACAGCACACAGCAGACAGUUUUAAAAGCCGCGGAGGCCCCGGGUGGGAGGGGAGAGGAG
RNAcentral lists this long non-coding RNA (2106 nucleotides) under Homo sapiens (human). RNAcentral's name for it is "HSALNT0116887". The record is from RNAcentral. Lineage: Eukaryota; Metazoa; Chordata; Mammalia; Primates; Hominidae.